This 329-nucleotide unclassified non-coding RNA is filed under the name soil metagenome. RNAcentral describes it as "partial contains 5.8S ribosomal RNA, internal transcribed spacer 2, and large subunit ribosomal RNA". The stretch from base 1 to 120 matches the Rfam family "5.8S ribosomal RNA", at positions 35 to 154 of the family's 154-position model. The record is from RNAcentral.
GAUGAAGAACGUAGCGAAAUGCGAUAAGUAAUGCGAAUUGCAGAAUUCAGUGAGUCAUCGAAUCUUUGAACGCACAUUGCGCCCCUUGGUAUUCCGAGGGGCAUGCCUGUUCGAGCGUCAUUAUAACCCCUCAAGCUCAGCUUGGUGUUGGGGCCUGCUGCACUGGCAGCCCUUAAAAUCAGUGGCGGCGCCAUCUGGCUCUAAGCGUAGUAAUUCUUCUCGCUAUGGAGUCCUGGUGGAUGCUUGCCAUCAACCCCCAAUUUUUCUAUGGUUGACCUCGGAUCAGGUAGGGAUACCCGCUGAACUUAAGCAUACCAAUAAGCGGAGGA